AUACGUAGGGAGCGAGCGUUGUCCGGAAUUACUGGGCGUAAAGGGCGCGUAGGCCGUGUUAUAAGUUAGUUGUAAAACGUGUGGGCUUGACCCGCAUUCGCAACUAAAACUGUAACGCUAGAGGCAUAGAGAGGCAGACGGAAUUCCUGGUGUAGCGGUGCAAUGCGUAGAUAUCAGGAAGAACACCGGUGGCGAAGGCGGUCUGCUGGCUAUGAACUGACGCUGAAGCGCGAAAGCCAGGGGAGCAAACGGGAUUAGAUACCCCGGUAGUCCUGGCAGUAAACGAUGUAUGCUGGGUGUGGGCGUAGCGAUACGUCCGUGCCGAAGUUAACGCGAUAAGCAUACCGCCUGGGGAGUACGGUCGCAAGAUUGAAACUCAAAUGAAUUGACGGGG
Molecule: ribosomal RNA, 394 nt
Filed under: uncultured bacterium
Lineage: Bacteria
Description: partial 16S ribosomal RNA
Rfam family: Bacterial small subunit ribosomal RNA
Source: RNAcentral